RNAcentral lists this ribosomal RNA (456 nucleotides) under uncultured Saprospiraceae bacterium. Its description in RNAcentral is "bacterial SSU rRNA". It matches the Rfam family "Bacterial small subunit ribosomal RNA", at positions 30 to 505 of the family's 1533-position model. The record is from RNAcentral. Lineage: Bacteria; Pseudomonadati; Bacteroidota; Saprospiria; Saprospirales; Saprospiraceae.
AUUGAACGCUAGCGGGAGGCCUAAUACAUGCAAGUCGAACGGCAGCAAUUCGGUUGGCGAGUGGCGCACGGGUGAGUAACGCGUACACUACCUACCUUGUACUGAGGAAUAGCCCUGGGAAACUGGGAGUAAUACCUCAUAGUAUCGCAAGAUUAAAGCUACGGCGGUACAAGAUGGGUGUGCGUCUGAUUAGCUAGUUGGUGAGGUAACGGCUCACCAAGGCGACGAUCAGUAGGGGGCGUGAGAGCGUGGCCCCCCACACGGGUACUGAGACACGGACCCGACUCCUACGGGAGGCAGCAGUAAGGAAUAUUGGGCAAUGGAGGCAACUCUGACCCAGCCAUCCCGCGUGCAGGAUGACGGCCCUAUGGGUUGUAAACUGCUUUUAUAUAAGAAGAAAGGUAUGUAUUUAUAUGUAUUUGACGGUACUAUAUGAAUAAGCACCGGCUAACUCCG